AGAGUUUGAUCCUGGCUCAGAAUCAACGCUGGCGGCGUGCCUAACACAUGCAAGUCGCACGAGAAAGGGACUUCCCUGAGUACAGUGGCGCACGGGUGAGUAACACGUGAAUCAUCUACCUUCGAGUGGGGAAUAACUGAGAGAAAUCUUAGCUAAUACCGCAUAAAACCUACGGGUCAAAGCAGCAAUGCGCUUGAAGAGGAGUUCGCGGCAGAUUAGUUAGUUGGCGGGGUAAUGGCCCACCAAGACGAUGAUCUGUAUCCGGCCUGAGAGGGCGCACGGACACACUGGAACUGAAACACGGCCCAGACUCCUACGGGAGGCAGCAGUGGGGAAUUUUGCGCAAUGGGGGAAACCCUGACGCAGCAACGCCGCGUGGAGGAUGAAAUCCCUUGGGAUGUAAACUCCUUUCGAUAGGGAAGAUAAUGACGGUACCUAUAGAAGAAGCCCCGGCUACUUCGUGCCAGCAGCCGCGGUAAUACGAGGGGGGCAAGCGUUGUUCGGAAUUAUUGGGCGUAAAGGGUGCGUAGGCGGUUUGACAAGUCUUAUGUGAAAUCUAUGGGCUCAACCCAUAGUCUGCAUGGGAAACUGUCGGGCUUGAGUAUGGGAGAGGUGAGUGGAAUUUCCGGUGUAGCGGUGAAAUGCGUAGAUAUCGGAAGGAACACCUGUGGCGAAAGCGGCUCACUGGACCAUAACUGACGCUGAUGCACGAAAGCUAGGGGAGCAAACAGGAUUAGAUACCCUAGUAGUCC
This 752-nucleotide ribosomal RNA is filed under the name uncultured bacterium. RNAcentral's name for it is "bacterial SSU rRNA". It matches the Rfam family "Bacterial small subunit ribosomal RNA", at positions 8 to 796 of the family's 1533-position model. The record is from RNAcentral.